ACUUACGGCCAUACCAGCCUGAAUACGCUCAAUCUUGUCUGAUCUUGGAAGCUAAGCAGGGUCGGGCCUGGUUAGUACUUGGAUGGGAGACUCCCUGGGAAUACCAGGUGCUGUAAGUG
This 119-nucleotide ribosomal RNA is filed under the name Hucho hucho (huchen). The record is from RNAcentral. Lineage: Eukaryota; Metazoa; Chordata; Actinopteri; Salmoniformes; Salmonidae.